This 497-nucleotide ribosomal RNA is filed under the name uncultured bacterium. RNAcentral's name for it is "partial 16S ribosomal RNA". It matches the Rfam family "Bacterial small subunit ribosomal RNA", at positions 28 to 507 of the family's 1533-position model. The record is from RNAcentral.
GAUGAACGCUGGCGGCGUGCCUAAUACAUGCAAGUCGAGCGAAAAGACGAGGAGCUUGCUCCUCUGACGUUAGCGGCGGACGGGAGAGUAACACGUGGAUAACCUACCUAUAAGACUGGGAUAACUUCGGGAAACCGGAGCUAAUACCGGAUAAUAUAUUGAACCUCAGGGUUCAAUAGUGAAAGACGGUUUUGCUGUCACUUAUAGCUGGAUCCGCGCCGCAUUGGCUAGUUGGUAAGUUAACGGCUUACCAAGGCGACGAUGCGUUGCCGACCGGAGAGCGUGAUCGGCGACUCUGGAACUGAGCCGCGAUCCAGACUCCUACGGGCGGCAGCAGUAGGUAAUCUUGCGCACAGUGCGGAAUCCUGACGGAGCGACGCCGCGUGAGUGAUGAAGGUCUUCGUGUCGUAUAACUCUGUUAUUAGUGAAGAACAAAUUUGUAAGUAACUAUGCACGUCUUGACGGUACCUGCUCAGAAAGCCACGGCUAACUACGUG